RNAcentral lists this ribosomal RNA (497 nucleotides) under uncultured bacterium. Its description in RNAcentral is "partial 16S ribosomal RNA". It matches the Rfam family "Bacterial small subunit ribosomal RNA", at positions 28 to 507 of the family's 1533-position model. The record is from RNAcentral.
GAUGAACGCUGGCGGCGUGCCUAAUACAUGCAAGUCGAGCGAACGGACGAGAAUUGUGCUUUUCUGAUGUUAGCAACGGACGGGUGAGUAACACGUGGAUAACCUAGCUCUAAGACUUAGGUAACUUCGGGAAACUGGAGCUAAUACCGGGUAAUAUUUUGAACCGCAUGGUUCAAAAGUGUAAGACGGUCUUGCUGUCACUUAUAGAUGGAUCGGCGCUGCAUUAGCUAGUUGGUAAGGUAACGGCUUACCAAGGCAACGAUGGAUAGCCGACGUGAGAGGGGGAUGCGGCACUCUGGGACUGAGCGGCGAUACAGAGUCCUACGGACGGCCGAGGUACGGACUGUUCCGAGAUGGGCGGAAGCUUGACGGAGCAACGCCGCGUGGGUGAUGAAGGGCUUCGGGUCGUAAAACGCUGUUAUGAGGGUAGACCACAUGCGUAAGUAACGAUGCACAUCUUGACGGUACCUAAAUAGAAAGCCCCGGCUAACUACGUG